RNAcentral lists this long non-coding RNA (870 nucleotides) under Moschus moschiferus (Siberian musk deer). RNAcentral's name for it is "lncRNA (ENSMMSG00000021334.1)". Lineage: Eukaryota; Metazoa; Chordata; Mammalia; Artiodactyla; Moschidae. The record is from RNAcentral.
AGGGCGGCUCCGCUCCAGGCUUUCCCUGCGGCCCGGGACCCGAGGGUCGGCGCCGCGGCAGCCGGACGCUGGCGGUGCGCUCCCCGCGCCCCCCGGCUCGGGCUCGAGCUCGGGGCGUGUCCGGGGAGCCCCCUUGUGGGGGUGCGGCGGGGAGGGGGCGCGGCGGGCGGCGGGACAACUUCUGAGGUAGCUGCGCGUACCUCGCUCUCCCGCUCCCCUCGCCCCGAAACCGCUUUCCCUUCCGGGGUCGGGAGGCGCCGCCCCGGAGCGUACCUUGCGCGCCCUGGGCGACCCCGGGCCCCGGGUUCCGGGCGCGUUUGAGGCGUCGCCGCCGCGCGACUUUUCUGCCGCCCCCGCCCGCCCACUGCGUCGCGACGCUCCGGCGGCCCCACAGGUAAGCGGGCCGCCCCCGGCUCUGUGCCUGCAGGCCGCCCUAGCGGCCUCGGUAACCGUCGUCUCUCCACGCAGUGAAAGGAGACCCCUUUUACCACACCAACAAGGACAUAGGCGUCAGGGAGUCUUCGAGACCCUCAUAGAGGGGAUGGCACCCAGCAGGCAGCCCACAGACACAAACGAGCAAAGACGGGUUUCUGAGCCCAUUGCAGCCCGGCCGGACGUUGGCCCCUGGGGACCAACCUGGACUGGAGGGAACAGCGCGGGAGGCGGGCCGCCAGGCAUGAAGGAACAGCCUUGCUGUCAAGUGAAGACACUUAACCGGACCAAGUAAAACAAAACCUGAAAUGCAACAUAGCUGCAUCAGAAAGCUGUUCAAUUCCUGAAUUCAUAGAAGACCCUGACUUCCUAUCAAAAGGCCUUUGAAAAACAAGGUAAAGAACAUAAAAUCAUAUCUUACAUAUAAAAACUGAAAUU